RNAcentral lists this non-coding RNA (21 nucleotides) under Arabidopsis thaliana (thale cress). The record is from RNAcentral. Lineage: Eukaryota; Viridiplantae; Streptophyta; Magnoliopsida; Brassicales; Brassicaceae.
UUCAGUGACUGUUUUUGGUGU